AUGACAUAAAAUAAACCGGAUAAUACGAACAAUAGUUUAAAAUUCAAACAAUUUGGCGGUGUCUUAUAUACUCAGGGGAACCUGUCUCUUAAUUCGAUAAUCCACGACAGCUCAUCCAUACCUAAAACAUAGCCUGUGUACUGCUGUCGUCAGUAAACCUCUAUAAGAAAGUUUACAACAAUGAUCUCAUCACCUACGUCAAGUCAAAGUGCAGCUAAUGGUAUGGAGAUGAUGGGUUACACUCUUAACAAAGAUUACCAAUCUUUCUUAUAAAUAAGAAAGUGAGGGUGGACUUGAUAGUAAUAUAAUAUAAUAAUAUGAACACAACCUAAGACAUGCACACAUCGCCCGUCACUCUCGUCCAAAGAUG
RNAcentral lists this ribosomal RNA (370 nucleotides) under Henlea montana. RNAcentral describes it as "partial 12S small subunit ribosomal RNA". It matches the Rfam family "Bacterial small subunit ribosomal RNA", at positions 875 to 1415 of the family's 1533-position model. Lineage: Eukaryota; Metazoa; Annelida; Clitellata; Enchytraeida; Enchytraeidae. The record is from RNAcentral.